This 6170-nucleotide long non-coding RNA is filed under the name Arabidopsis lyrata. RNAcentral describes it as "long non-coding RNA (ALYR_LNC002715)". Lineage: Eukaryota; Viridiplantae; Streptophyta; Magnoliopsida; Brassicales; Brassicaceae. The record is from RNAcentral.
CUCACCUUUCAAAGCUUUACCAUUACCACUUCACUAUUUCUCUAAUAAAAUGGCAGCUAUUCAAGCAUUCACCCCUCUUGCUGACAUUAAGCCCUUCAAAACACAUUGGAAAAUUCAAGUUAAGAUUGUGCAUUCGUGGACACAAUACACUCAAUUCACCGGGGAGACAGUUGAAAUGGUUCUUGCUGAUACAGCUGUAAGUAUAAGAACUAUCAUUUUGAAACAUAUUAAACAUUUAUCAAUCAUCAAUAUCACUGGAUGAUUAACAUGAGUUCUUUUUAUCUGUUGCCAGGGUACUUUGAUUCAUGCUACUGUUAAGAAGCCACAAGUGAGCAAACUGCAAAGGUUCAUAGUUUCUGGAGAAUGGCGUAUUAUCGAGCAUUUUACGCUAACCAAAUCAACAGGAAAGUAUCGAGCCACAAAACAUGGUUUCAAAAUGUCCAUGAUGGAAAAAACUGUGAUAAGUCGCACUCCUUCUGUUUCUGAUGACAUUUAUGUGGAUCUGGCAAACUUUCCAGAUAUUUUGAAUGAAGCAGGAUUGAGUGAAAACAUCUUAAUUGGUACUAUAUCUAUCUUACUUUCCAUUGUAUAUUUUCUUUUUCUAUUAUAAUAGGAACUUCUUCAUGAAAAUAUAAUAUAUUACUCUCUUAUUUUGCAGAUGUACUUGGACAGGUAGUUAGUUUCAAUGAAAUGAAAAUUCAUGAUGUUAAUAACAAGAUCACAAAGAGACUUGAGUGUGAACUCAGAGACACAAAGUAAGUUUUAUCAUGAAUCUACCUUUUUUAUUUAAUCUUACAUACAUCUAAACUUAAAACUUUCUCAAUAUUUUUGUUGUAUUGUAGUGAUGAAAGGCUGAAAUGCACUCUUUGGGGGAGAUUUGCUGAGGCAAUGUAUAAUGCAUGUCAAAAUGCAGGGACUGAGAGAGUGAUAUGCUUACUUCGGCUUGCAAAGAUCAACUCAUUUAAAGGUAUAGAAUGUUGUUACUGGGAAUAAUGGAUGAUUUUGAAAUCGAAAUGAAAUCAGAACAUAUGUGAAAAUACUAAUAUCAUGCUGUUUGUAGGUGAAAGAGCUGUUUUAAAUUCAUUUGAUAUGUCUCUAUUGGAAAUCAAUGCUACCUACCCUGCUGUUCUUGAUUUUGUGGCCAAGUAAGAUAUGUUUAAACAUCACAUUUCUUUUACUAAUAUAGAUAACUGUUAAUCCUUUUUAUAAUAUCUAAAGUUGAUUUCGUGUUCUUUUAUUUGUUAAAAAUAGUUUACCACCGGAUGUUAUUCCACUGACUAUCGAAGACUCGAAGGCAAAACAAGUGAAUGCAGAACAGAGAAAAAAGGAUUACUAUGAUCGUUUUCCAAGGAAAACCAUCUCUGCACUCUUUUGUUUUGCUGAGGUAUUUGUAUUGGAUAAUAUUAUUUUUUCUAGAAACUAUUAAAUUCUCUGUCUAUACUACUAAUUAUCUAUUUUUUUGUAAUAGACUGGAAAGUGCAACAUAAUUUGUACCAUAAUGAAUAUCGACACAGACUAUUCUUGGUAUUUCUUUAGUUGCCUCAAGUGUAGCAAAACUGCCUAUAAGAUUCCAAAGGUUGAAAAUGAGAUUGUCAAGAAAGGCAAGAAAGAAAUGUUUUGGUGUCCAACAUGUAAGGAAGACACUCCUAAGGUGAUACCAAGGUAAGACUUUGAGAUUUGCUAAUAUAUAUCUACAUUUGUCAGAUAAUAACUAGGUACAUAAUCUACUUUCCUGUUCCUUUGAUAUGUAGGUAUCUUUUAAACGUUGGAGUGAUGGAUAGCACUGGAGACACUAAAUGUCUUAUCUUUGAUAAAAGUGCACAAGAGAUAAUCGGUGUGUCUGCAGAGGAUUUGCUGGAAGGGAAGUGGGAUGAGGUAAACAAAUUUAUUGUUAAUAUGUAUAUAGACCAUAUUAUUCAAAUAUCUUAUAUACUUUUUUCAAUCUAUCAUAACAGAUUCAGGAUCCUACAAACGUGCCUCAGCCAAUCAGAGAUUUGGUUGGAAAGACUUUCCAGUUUCUGGUGACUGUUGGAAAGGAAAACAUCAAUGAAACUGAUGAUACCUACAAGGUUUCAACCGUUUGGCUGGGUAAUGAAUCUGACAAUCUAGAUACUAUUGAAGAUUCUGACCAGCAGACUGACCAACGUAAUGACCUCUCUAUUGAUCAGGUAAUGUUAGUAGGUGCAACCAAAAUCAAUCUAUCAAAAAGUUAUUCAAGUUUAUCACUAAAGGGCUGGAUCGUGUUUCAAUUAAAUAGUGAGUACCAUCAGUUAUACUCAAGUCAGGGAAUAAAUUAUGGAUACUCAUAACUAUAUAAUUUAAUGACUUUGUUAUAUGAAAGAUUAUCUAUUAUAUAUUGACUCUCCUGAUUUUCUUACUUACAAGAAGGACUUGCUCUGACCAAUAGUGGUGAAACCACUGACCCUUUAGAUCCUACAUCAUCCACUCCUUCAUCUAAGCGUAGUAUGGAUGCAGUUUCUGAGGACAUUGAAGGUCAGGGUUCUACUACUAAAAAGGCAUGUGUCUCUUCCCUUCUUGGUGACAUUGAGAAGGAAGAGAUUGAAGGUGGCAAGAAUUAAGUUGUGCUGGCUGGGAAUAAUGUAGGGAGCUUGGCUGUAGCAAUUAGUUUUCUAUUUUUUCUUUUGUUCAAGUUUCAAAACUUAUUUAGUUUUUUCCUUCAGCUAUGUGCUAUUUAAUUCUCAGUUAUUUUGAAUUCAAGCAAUAAACUCUAAGCUUCUCCUUAAACGAAACUCUUUGCAAAAUAUAAACUAACUUAUGCUUAAACUAAAGAUCACAAAACAGAAAGAGAAAAUAUACUAACCUGUGCUUUGUACUGAUGAAUUUUCAUAUAUAAGCCCCAUUACUGUAGCUAACACUGCAGAUAAAAGAAAACACAUAUUAGUAACAAACAUUGAGAGACUGCGAUGAAUCUAUACUAAUCUGACGAUAUCUAUACUAUAAAUGGCUAACUUAAUUAAUAUGUGAGAUAUAUAAGUACAUAUAUUUUAAAGGGCAUAUGUGCAAAUAUUUUAAAGAUCGUAAGCUAUUAAAAUCUAUCUCCUAUUCUAAAUCGUUAACUAAUUGGAAUAGUAUAGCAGUAUAGAUAAAUCAGUUUUAAAAGGGUUCAUUGUUGCAGUAUAACAACUGUUUUCACGACCAAUUUAAUAUUUAACCUAUUAAUAUACAAGAUUCUAUGCUAAAAAUAAGAAUCAAUCAAUUAGAUUUUAUUAUGAAUAUGGAAAAGAAAAUAUAUUCUGUAAUCUUUUCAGUUUAAUGCUAUCACACUAAAUCAGGCCGAGACGAUUUCUUUACAAUCAUUACAUAACCAUUUUACACCUUCAAUCCUAAUCUACAGCGACUCGCCUCAUUAGCAAAGAAACAACUAUAAGGUCAGUCUUUUAAUAUCUUUCAACAUAUAACAUGUUCAUUGACAAAUGACAUAAUUGGAAUUAUUUUUCUAACAAAUCUAUUUUGUUUUUCAGAAUGAAGAGAAGAAAAAAUGAAACAGUAAAAGAAAAUAACAAUGUAAUGCAGACACCUAACACAAAGCGUUCUAGGUCUCAGCUAUAUGAUGAAAACAUAAAUCCAAAUCUACAGAACCAACAAGAUAGGAGUGAUGUUCAAGUAAAAGGGAUUUUUAAUCGAUUGAGAUCUGGAAUAGGUAACAUACCAGCCCAGCAGUGUGAUUCUGAAGCCUUACAGACAGUAACUGGUCCUUCUUCUUCUGCAGCCAUACAAAAGGAAACACAAGGUAUGUAAACAUUUAUAUUCCAACAAUAUAGCAUCUACAUAUGAUACAACUAAUAAAUAAUCAUAAUGUAUAGGAUUUGCAUCUACAGUUACUUAUAAUACGAGUGUAAGAUCAGCCAAAAAAACAGCAAGGACACAGAGAAGACCUUUUCAAGAUGUGCAGAACAUUAUUAAUACAUCACAGCUUCACAGCGAGGUUCACCAAACUCCACUUAAUCCACAUAAGCCACCAGAAAAAAAGGGGAAAAAGUGGAGUCCACCAUCUGUUAAUAGCAAACAAGGUAUACAUGCCUCUCAAUAAUAUGAAACUAUUACAUAAAAAAUAGACCUGAUAGAUCAACACUGAUGGAGUAAUGUUUAUUUCAUGAAGCUGCUAAGGGUAUUAUACUUACCAAUUCAAGAAUCAAUCUGAGGUUCCCAAAGUCUUUGGCAAAGGAGAAGAAAACAUCUGACAAGAGUUAUGAUACAACAAUCGAAGAAGACUCUGAUGAGAUCCUGAAUUCAAAGGAAGAAACAUAUAUUAAUAUGAGUAAGUAAAAAUCAUUAUGAUAUAUUUUCUAAACUUAAUAAAGCAUCCACUAAUCAGGGGAAAAAACUAUGAUAGGUGAUUUGGAGGAAACACGUGAACAGGUUUACGAGUGUAGUAGUCCAGAUGAAAAUGAUUCAGAAAUAUCUGAAGAUUAUGAAACCAUAGACGAUAUCCCAAUCGAAGUCAAACAAAGAUAUGAGUUUUUAUCAAUGUUAGAUGAAAGUUUGACCAAAGCUUUUGGAGAAAUAAAAACUCCUAAUGUUUCUAGCAGAAAGAACAAAAACACAAGUACUACAUCAUUGGUUUAUUUCUAAUUCUUUUCUUACACAAACUUUACUUAUGCUAAACUUAUUCCCGUUAUUGUAGAGUAUCUAGAUCAUGGAGAUCCUGUCUACUCAUGUUCCUACUGCGGUGCUAUUAUGUGGUAUGGCGAACGCAUCAACAGACAUAAGAAAGUUCGUAAACCAAUUUUUACUCAAUGUUGUCUGCAAGGAUCUGUGAAACUGCCUUUCCUCCAUAAUCAACCAGAACUGUUAUUUGCUUUUCUAAGCAAUGAUGAUGACAUGAGUAGACACUUUAGAGAGAACAUCCGAGCAUAUAACAUGAUUUUUUCAUUUACUUCUCUUGGGGGUAAGUGUGAUAAUUCUGUUACAGCGGGAAGGGGUCCUAAUAUGUUUCAGAUACAAGGAGAGAAUUACCACCAGAUGGGAAGUUUGAAACCUGGAGAAGGUGAAUUUCCUAAGUUUAGUCAGCUAUAUAUAGUUGACACAGAGAAUGAAGUUGAAAACAGAGCAGGAAUUUUAAGGUACAUUUUCUAACUCAAAACAAGCCAUCACAGUAUCCAGACUUUGUGUUUUUUUCUGUAAGUAUUAGUGUCGUUGCUAACUAAAUUAAUAUUUCAGCAAAGGAAAAUCUGCUGGGAAAUAUAAGAAGAAGUCAGAGUUGAGAAAAGAAAUAAUUGAGGCGAUAAUAAAGCUGCUAAAUGAAGUUAAUCCAUACGUUGCUCAUUUUAGACAAGCUCGUGAUAGGUUUAAUACCAAUCCUGAACAGAGCUUUCAUAUGAAAAUAGUGAGUGACCGUGUCAAAGAUGGAAGAACAUAUGCAGUGCCAACAGCUUCGGAGGUCGCAGCGCUGAUUCCAGGUGAUUUUCACAUUGGUAUGCCAAGUCGUGACAUUAUUAUUGAAGAAAAAUCUGGGUAUUUACAAAGAAUCAGUGAAAUAGAACCAUGUUAUCUUGCUCUACAAUACCCUCUAUUGUUUCCAAAGGGUGAAGAUGGUUAUAGGACAGGUAUUCAGAAAGGGAAUAACCAUGGUAAAAAGAAAAACAAGCCCGAAGGAACUGAGGAGAAUGAUUGCAUAAGUUUGCGUCAAUGGUAUGCGUAUCGUAUACAAGAGAGAAAGAAUGAACAAAGUAUCCUGCUAAGGUCAAAACGGUUGUACCAGCAGUUCUUGGUUGAUGCUUAUACCACCAUUGAAGCUAAUAGGCUCAAAUAUAUUAAACUGAAUCAGUCAAGUUUACGAGCUACUAACUAUGAUUCAGUUAAAGAGGCGGCAACAGCAGGAAAGACAGAUAUGAAUGAAGAAGGAAAAGCAUUUUAUCUACCAGCUACUUUUGUUGGUGGGCCAAGAUACAUGAAGAACAUGUACAUGGAUGCAAUGUCUACAUGUAAUCAUUAUGGAUUUCCUGACCUAUUCAUUACGUUCACAUGCAAUCCAAAAUGGCCUGAGCUGGUAAGCUUUUGUACUGAGAGAAAUUGUAAUUCCGAUGAUAGGCCAGAGAUCAUAAGCAGAAUGUUCAAAAUGAAGCUGAAUUCUCUAAUGGAUGAUUUAACGAAGAAACAUAUAUUGGGGAAGACUGUUUCAUGUAAGUGAUUUAUUUUAAUAGUUGCGU